GUCUCCUUGGUGUAGCUGGUUAUCACGUGGGUCUCAUAGUCUCUCCAUACUGUGACUGCUGUCUUCUGCAGCGGAUAUCCCAAGGCCGCCAGUUCGAGUCUGGCAGGGGACA
Molecule: non-coding RNA, 112 nt
Organism: Ascochyta rabiei
Lineage: Eukaryota; Fungi; Ascomycota; Dothideomycetes; Pleosporales; Didymellaceae
Source: the annotation of a RefSeq genome assembly